RNAcentral lists this ribosomal RNA (478 nucleotides) under Leucosolenia complicata. RNAcentral's name for it is "partial 28S ribosomal RNA". It matches the Rfam family "Eukaryotic large subunit ribosomal RNA", at positions 365 to 665 of the family's 3401-position model. Lineage: Eukaryota; Metazoa; Porifera; Calcarea; Leucosolenida; Leucosoleniidae. The record is from RNAcentral.
UGAAAAGCACUUUGAAAAGAGAGUUAAAAGCACGUGAAACCGUUGAAAGGGAAACGCGCUCGGCUAGCAAUGCACGUUGGUGGUUCAGCCGGCUAGUCUUGUCGAGUCGUCGUUUCGCGGAUCCGAAUGGACCGCGGGCGGCGGCAUCGGUGGGCGAGCUGUGGUGCACUCCAUCGGCGUGCGCGUCAGCGUCGGUUCUCGACGGGCGAUAAGGUGCGUGCGGGGAAGGUAGCUCGGUCUUCGGACGGAGUGUUAUAGACCCGCUCGGCGCUGGGUUCGUCGUGGGACCGAGGAGAGAGAUGAUCGUUGCGGCACCUGCCUUUCGGGGCUAGCCAGCUGCUGUCAGGUGCGGCGUCACACGUUGAGGACUGCACGCAGUGCUUGGUGUGGAGGCGUGAUCUGGCCGGUGGUGUGGGUAUAGAGGUGCCUAGGACGCUGGCGUCCAAAUGGCCGUGCGCGACCCGUCUUGAAACACGGA